UCUCUUUUUCUCAUUUUGUUAGAUCUCAAGCAUUUUGCUAUAGAUGAACACAUGCAUAUUUAAUAUAUUCUAUAUUUAUUAUACUUAUUUAGAUUUUAUAGGAUCAAUUUCAAAAGCAUAUACUUAUAAUAAAUAAUCUCUAUUUAAUUUCUUAGAACACUCCUUUUUAUUAAGGAUUUUUCAAGCUAGGUUUUUCUCUUAUAAGAUAUCACUAGCUCUUUGGUUUUGAUUCUUAUCUUGAUUUUUUUUUUGUUAUUUGUCGUCUUUAACUUUUAAAAUCCCAUCUAUAAAAAGUUUUGGAUCGAAUAGGAGAUUAAUCUCAAAAUCGAUCUAAACUGCAUCGCAAAAACUCUGAUGAAAUCUGAUUUUCUUUAAUGUUUUAAAAUGCGUGUUUUUUUAGGUUACCUUAGAAUAUUUAUAAAAAAAUUUUCCCUUUAAUUUUAAAAUUCCUUCUAUAAAAGGCUUUGAAUCAGAUGAAUGUUUACCUCAAAACUGAUUUAAAUUGUAUCGCGAACAACCUCAUGGUUAACUAACUUUAAAUCCAAUUUUUUUUAGGUUAUCUUUCAAGGUUUUAAAAGCAUUCUUUUGUUGUUAUUUAUUAAGAAGUUGAUCCAACUAAUUAUAUAUUUUUUUUGUUUAUUUAUAAAAUAUUGGGGAUUUGUUUUUGCUUUUUGUUUUAUUGUUGAGUUGAGGUAUGAAUUGAGUUCAAAUGAGUAGAUUCCUUUCAAAGACCCUCGUGUGUUAAACUUAAUCUAACCACUAAUAGCAUGCCACAUCAGCUUCUCCUCGUGGCCUUGUCCACAUAUAUAAAAUCUCAAAUUUUUAUGAACCCUUCUUUUAGUUCUUUCUUUUUCUAUAUUAUUUAUUUGAUGUUGCUCUUUCUUUUUAAUUAUAGUCUAUAAGACUUUUUAGCCAUUAUAAGCUAAAGAUGAGAUUGAAAAUCAAAUAUUAAUGAUAUUUCUAUGGUGGAGAGUUUGAAGAUUAUCAUCAUCAUCAUCAUCACAGUCGUUAUUUGCAGAUGUAGCAUCAUCAAGAUUCACAUAUGAAUGAUGUAGUGGAACACUGGUCUCAUGCUAAUCCAUUGAUUUUUUGAAGUGAGAAUCUUGAUGAUGCUGCAUCAGCCAUUAAUGACUUUAUAAAGUUUUAUGAAAGUGAAGAAUGCAAAAAUAUUCAGAAACUGUCUAUAUAUGAGAUCAAGAACACUCAGUCCCUUUGAUACUUUCUUUCAGGUCUCCGAAUUCAUGCUACACUCGAUCCACCCCUGCUCCGAAGAAUUAAUUAGCACACCUCGAAGGGUUGGAACGUCCAAAUAGGUAUUACGUAAGAGAUUCAAUGUUCGAUCUCAGCUACUAAUAAUUCUCUUUCUUCUAAUUAACUUCAAUAUGUUGCCUUGACCAAAAAAAGAAUCAAAUAUGUUAUUUUUUUGUGCUAAUUAUAUUGAAGAUAUAAUAGAUAGACAUGAUUUGUGAAUUGUUAAUUACUUGGAAUAUGCAGAUUCUUAAAGCCAAAUGUAUUCUUGGUUUGGGGAAGGGCUUAUAAAUAAUUUGUGUCCCCAUGACCACCAGCUUCAUCCUUGUUUGUUUACUAGCUACAUUUAAUAUUAAUUAUAUAUGUAUCUAUUGGAGUUAAUUAAAUUAGAAAAUUUGAAGUAUAUGGACAUGUUCCAAGUGGUUUGCAUAUGAGGAUCAAUGAAAAUUGAAGCUAGCUAGCUUGGGAAUUGAAUAUGUAAAA
Molecule: long non-coding RNA, 1731 nt
Organism: Trifolium pratense (red clover)
Lineage: Eukaryota; Viridiplantae; Streptophyta; Magnoliopsida; Fabales; Fabaceae
Exons: 2
Source: RefSeq, a predicted model, not a curated record